GGCGAACGCUGGCGGCGUGCUUAACACAUGCAAGUCGAACGGUGAAGCCCUUCGGGGUGGCUCAGUGGCGAACGGGUGAGUAACACGUGAGCAACCUGCCCCUGGCUCUGGUACAACCACUGGAAACGGUGGCUAAUACCGGAUACGUCCCGCCUCGGCACCGAGUGUGGGUGGAAAGUUUUUCGGCUGGGGAUGGGCUCGCGUCCUAUCAUCUUGUUGUUGAGGUGAAGGAUCACCAAGGCGAAGACGGGUAGCCGUCCUGAGAGGGCGACCGGGCACACUGGGACUGAGACACGGACCAGAGUGCUACGGGAGGCAGCAGUGGGGAAUAUUGCACAAUGGGCGAGAGCCUGAUGCAGAGACGCCGCGUGAGGGAUGACGGCCUUCGGGGUGUAAAACUCAGUAAGCUCCGAAGAAGCGAAAGUGACGGUAGGAGAAGAAGAAGCACCGGCUAACUACGUG
RNAcentral lists this ribosomal RNA (462 nucleotides) under uncultured bacterium. Its description in RNAcentral is "partial 16S ribosomal RNA". It matches the Rfam family "Bacterial small subunit ribosomal RNA", at positions 28 to 507 of the family's 1533-position model. The record is from RNAcentral.